Molecule: ribosomal RNA, 435 nt
Filed under: uncultured bacterium
Lineage: Bacteria
Description: partial 16S ribosomal RNA
Rfam family: Bacterial small subunit ribosomal RNA
Source: RNAcentral
AACGAGCGCUGGCGGCAGGCUUAACACAUGCAAGUCGAACGCGUGCAGCAAUGCACGAGUGGCGCACGGGUGAGUAACGCGUGGAUAUCUGCCUUUUGGUUCGGAAUAACCCCGGGAAACUGGGGCUAAUACCGGAUGGUUCCUACGGGAUAAAGAUUUAUCGCCAAAAGAUGAGUCCGCGUCCGAUUAGCUAGUUGGUGAGGUAAUGGCUCACCAAGGCGACGAUCGGUAGCUGGUCUGAGAGGACGAUCAGCCACACUGGGACUGAGACACGGCCCAGACUCCUACGGGAGGCAGCAGUGGGGAAUAUUGGACAAUGGGGGCAACCCUGAUCCAGCCAUGCCGCGUGAGUGAUGAAGGCCUUCGGGUUGUAAAGCUCUUUUGGCGGGGACGAUGAUGACGGUACCCGCAGAAUAAGCCCCGGCUAACUUCGUG